Dama dama (fallow deer) is the source of this 112-nucleotide long non-coding RNA. RefSeq lists it as uncharacterized. The transcript has 3 exons. NCBI's taxonomy places the organism in Eukaryota, Metazoa, Chordata, Mammalia, Artiodactyla, Cervidae. The record is from RefSeq and is a predicted model, not a curated record.
GGAUUCUUUAUCACUGAGCCACUUGCUCAAUCUCCAUAUCAAGUCACCUUGAAAAAUAGAUCAUCCACCAGAGCCUAGUGUAUACAAUGGAGAACCAUAUUCAACACUCUGA